Molecule: ribosomal RNA, 686 nt
Filed under: Rhodococcus sp. #1
Lineage: Bacteria; Bacillati; Actinomycetota; Actinomycetes; Mycobacteriales; Nocardiaceae
Description: bacterial SSU rRNA
Rfam family: Bacterial small subunit ribosomal RNA
Source: RNAcentral
GCGGCGAACGGGUGAGUAACACGUGGGUGAUCUGCCCUGCACUUCGGGAUAAGCCUGGGAAACUGGGUCUAAUACCGGAUAUGAGCCUCCACUGCAUGGUGGGGGUUGGAAAGGUUUACUGGUGCAGGAUGGGCCCGCGGCCUAUCAGCUUGUUGGUGGGGUAAUGGCCUACCAAGGCGACGACGGGUAGCCGGCCUGAGAGGGCGACCGGCCACACUGGGACUGAGACACGGCCCAGACUCCUACGGGAGGCAGCAGUGGGGAAUAUUGCACAAUGGGCGAAAGCCUGAUGCAGCGACGCCGCGUGAGGGAUGACGGCCUUCGGGUUGUAAACCUCUUUCAGCAGGGACGAAGCGAGAGUGACGGUACCUGCAGAAGAAGCACCGGCCAACUACGUGCCAGCAGCCGCGGUAAUACGUAGGGUGCGAGCGUUGUCCGGAAUUACUGGGCGUAAAGAGCUCGUAGGCGGUUUGUCGCGUCGUCUGUGAAAACCAGCAGCUCAACUGCUGGCUUGCAGGCGAUACGGGCAGACUUGAGUACUGCAGGGGAGACUGGAAUUCCUGGUGUAGCGGUGAAAUGCGCAGAUAUCANGAGGAACACCGGUGGCGAAGGCGGGUCUCUGGGCAGUAACUGACGCUGAGGAGCGAAAGCGUGGGUAGCGAACAGGAUUAGAUACCCUGGUAGUC